RNAcentral lists this small nuclear RNA (139 nucleotides) under Zerene cesonia (dogface butterfly). Its description in RNAcentral is "U4 spliceosomal RNA". It matches the Rfam family "U4 spliceosomal RNA". From Rfam's summary of the family: U4 small nuclear RNA (U4 snRNA) is a component of the major U2-dependent spliceosome. The record is from RNAcentral. Lineage: Eukaryota; Metazoa; Arthropoda; Insecta; Lepidoptera; Pieridae.
AACUUUGCGCAGAGGCAAUAUCGUAACCAAUGAGGUUUAUCCGAGGUGCGAUUAUUGCUAGUUGAAAACUUUACCAAUACCCCGCCAUGUGGACGUGAAAUACCGUCCAAUAUGGCACUUUUUGAAAGGCCGUUGAGGC